GAAAGAUUUAAAAAAGAUGGAGAAAACACAAGAAAAGUAUUAAAGCAGUUUUAAAAGAGUGCCUUAGGAGUGCCUUUGCACUGAUUGAUAAAAGUAAGUGAUUAGUAUAGAAAGAAAAUGAAAAUAAUUCAAUAAUGUGAUAAGGUUUAAACAUGUAUUUCUCUUGUCAAGUUGGCUGUUGAGCUGUGAGUCUAUGCAAAUUAGCUGGAGCAGAGACACUUCCUGUGUGCGUGUGUGUCGGAGGCUUUCAGUUCAAGAGAGAGCGGUGGCUGUUGAAGAUUAUUUGGCGAAAUAUAUAAUGGCCUGGAAGAGAGUGAACUGACGGCGCUGACAAAAUUACCAAGUACGAAAAUCAGCUCGGGACCAGUACUCCUGCUGUUGGACAGAAAGACAUCAACUUGAGAUAUGACUGCACUAUGCUGUUCCUGGUGACCACAGUUAAUUCUACAAGACAUGCUGUGACACCAGGAGAGACAAGUCCUCCGUCACAGAUGGUGUGGUCAGUGAAGAUGGUCGCCUGCAGGUUCAAGCUCAUUGCAUCUCCAACCCACAUCCACUGCCACUGUACUUUACGGUGUGUUCACACCGAACGCGAUAAACGCCACCAAAACGCGCCAGACGCCCCUAGCUUGACGCGUGCAAAUUUGCACCUCGACGCGUGUCCAACGCGAAUUAUUCAUGCGCGUGAAGCAGAAAUGUGGGAGGAAGUUGUGCCAGACGGUAUGUUUGCAAGAUGGCAGCUGUUGAGCCAGCAUUUGAAGAGAGAGUCUCCCUUCUCUAUUUACUGUGGAGAGCAGAGCAGCGGCGUAAAGGACGUCCUCGCCGUACCUGGGUCCAUCAGGUCCUCCAGAAGCAUGAGCAGUUUGGUGAGUUUCACCAUUUGCACCAGGAGCUGCGUCUGGAUGACGGCCGCUUUCAGCGGUACCACCCUUUUUCUCUCGCCCAGUUUGAGGAGCUGCUGUCCCGCGUCGGUCCAAGCAUUGCCCGCCUAGACACCAACUACAGGCGCUCAAGCCCAUCUGCAGAGCGCCUGUUCAUCUCUUCUCUUGCUCUCGGCGAAGGCGGUCGCACUUUUCUCCUCUCCUCCUCUCCCUUAGCUUCCCUGCUUAGCCUCUUGUGUCCUUGUCUAGUCUCGUGUUUUUUUGUAUUACUUUUCCCUGGAACACUCUCUCACAGUCUGUUCUCUAAAACCUAAAAGAGGAAUUAUGGAUUUGAUCAACUGGUCCCUGAAUGCAAUUGACACCCUUUUCUCAACGAGAAGUCUGGGCUUGGGUGAGCCUGAGUGCUGACGAUAUCUACCUAUUUGGAACCAUGAUAACAGGGUUCUUACUGAUCGGAGCUGGCUUGGCCCUGGCUUAUCGAAGAAUUAAGGAAGCGGAACCGGCUGUUCAAACCCCCACAAGACCUCUGAGUGCAAACUGGAUUACAUCUGGAGGGGCUCGCUCGGAAUAACACCUCUGAGCGCAAAUUGGAUCACAUCUUGGGAAGCUCACUGCGGUCGUGAGUUCUCAGAAUCGGCUCUUUGAGCACAAGAAUGACAACAUCACGGAGCGUAAGUUUGAUAACAUCAUGGAGAAGCUCGCGGCUCUCCAAUGGGAAAUUGAGAGACCAGUGUCGGACUGUUAGAAUAGCUUUGAAAUUCAUAUGAGUUGUUCGCAGUAAAGUAAAAACCACCAUCACUUCAUGCGGAGACCCCUUUGGCGCGAGCUGCGGUCUCAAGGCUGGAGCUGAACAACAACACCCUGAUAACGACUGUGUUGAGACUGUUCUUCCCUUUCUAUGCAAGGCCACCUGGGUUGGCUGGAAGACUGUUUACUUAGCCUGGCAGGGCGAAGGACACUGUCUCAGCUGAACUCUGGACACACACACACACACACACACACACAGACAUAUAUACACAUGCAGAUGUACACUCAUCCCCCCUCCCCCGUCCAAACGCCUUCGACGCUUAUUCCCUUCCGAUGCUGACGGUGGAUCAUGGAGACCAGUGCAUAGGCUGCAGGCCCGGAUGUACUGUCUACAUUGGCUGUCUCUCACCCUUUACCCGCCCCUGUUGCUUCUCAUGUGUUUCUUUGGUGUAUUAAGAGUUUUUUCAUGUGCUAUGUGCAGAGGUGUUUUUUUCUGUUCUCAAACUGAUCUCCCUGUUGGAGCUCAGUCUGGGGGGAGUUAUUUUUUCUCCUUAUCUUUCCUCAUGUUGUGCUUUUCCAUGUUAUACCCCUCUGACCUGUCUUCCCCAUGUGAUGUUUGUAUAAUGUAUGUAUGGUUGGAAGGGUAAGAUGGCGCUGGCACGGCUGGCAGCCUUAACCCAAUUUCCCUCGGGAUGAAUAAAGUAUGAUCAAUCAAGC
Molecule: long non-coding RNA, 2345 nt
Organism: Oreochromis aureus
Lineage: Eukaryota; Metazoa; Chordata; Actinopteri; Cichliformes; Cichlidae
Source: Ensembl